Molecule: ribosomal RNA, 253 nt
Filed under: uncultured bacterium
Lineage: Bacteria
Description: partial 16S ribosomal RNA
Rfam family: Bacterial small subunit ribosomal RNA
Source: RNAcentral
AACGUAGGAGCCUAGCGUUAUUCGAAUUCACUGGGCGUAAAGCGCGUGCAGGCGGUUCGGUAAGUUGGAUGUGAAAUCUUCUGGCUCAACUGGGAGAGGACGUUCAAGACUGUCGGACUAGAGGACGGUAGAGGAAGGUAGAAUUCCCGGUGUAGUGGUGAAAUGCGUAGAUAUCGGGAGGAAUACCAGUGGCGAAGGCGGCCUUCUGGGCCGUUCCUGACGCUCAGACGCGAAAGCUAGGGGAGCAAACGGG